This 986-nucleotide non-coding RNA is filed under the name Acyrthosiphon pisum (pea aphid). RNAcentral describes it as "Eukaryotic large subunit ribosomal RNA". It matches the Rfam family "Eukaryotic large subunit ribosomal RNA", at positions 2025 to 2818 of the family's 3401-position model. Lineage: Eukaryota; Metazoa; Arthropoda; Insecta; Hemiptera; Aphididae. The record is from Rfam by way of RNAcentral.
UGCGGCCUCACCAGGGUGGCGAAAGGCACCUGUAUGCCCUAGCCUGAUGGUACGGGCGCUCCGGGGUAGUCCCCCGGACGCGCUCGGUGCUCGUGGUCCUUAGACGACGCGCGACUUGCGGACGGCGGGUAACACCGUCGCACGUCGGUCGUGUUCCUCCGCGGCUCUUGACUAGCACCUAGUGCUAACAUAAGGUCCGCGGUUGUAGCCGCAAGGCAACAAAGCCGGGAGCUUCGUGUCCCUAUCUACUAUCUAGCGAAACCACAGCCAAGGGAACGGGCUUGGAAAAAUCAGCGGGGAAAGAAGACCCUGUUGAGCUUGACUCUAAUCUGGCAUUGUUCGGAGACAUGCCGAGGUGUAGCAUACGUGGGAGACCCGGACCAAGGCGGGCGGUUUCGGCCGUUCGUCUCCGGGCCGACCUUGAAAUACCACUACUCGCAUCGUUUCCCCACUUACUCGGUAGAGCGGAACGCGCGGUUCCGGCCGCGGGCGCGUCCGGCCGGCGGUCGUCGUCCCGUCGCGUCGUCGGUUUGCCGUCGGUUCGCCGGCGCGCUACUGGCGCGCGGCGUGGUCGCCGUGCCGUCGGCCUGUGCCCGUUCGUGCCGGGCCGCGGUUGAUAUUCCGGUAGCGUUAAGCACCAGCCGAGGGAUCCGGGCGUCAAACCGCGGACCGCGUCCGUCCGCGUACGGCCGACCGUCAAAAGUCGCCGUCCGCGUUCGCGGCGUAUCCGCGGGCCCGGUCCCUGGUGCGAUCCGUAUUCCGAGGACACCGCCAGGUGGGGAGUUUGACUGGGGCGGUACUUCUGUCAAAAAAUAACGCAGGUGUCCUAAGGCCAGCUCAGCGAGGACGGAAACCUCGCGUAGAGCAAAAGGGCAAAUGCUGGCUUGAUCCCGGACGCUCAGUACGCGUAGGGACUGCGAAAGCAUCGGCCUCUCGAUCCUCUCGUCCGCUGAAGAGUUUUCAGCGAGAGGUGUCAGAAAAGUUAC